UGAUUGCACUUUGCAGCCCAGGUGGAAUUCGCCACAGGACUUCCACUGAAUAUUUUGCUGCGUAUGUCUUGGGCCACGGACGUUAGGACUGAGCACAUAAAGAGAAAAAUAUUUGGAGGACAUCUUUGAGGCCAAAAAAGAGUCAUCACAGAGUACAAAUUAUGAACACUGAACUACAUUUGCUUACUGAUACUCAAAUGCUAUCUGGACACAGCUCUCUGUAGGGCUAUUAUCUCCACUCCAAGGGGCCCUACUUGAGUGGGCAAGGUUGAAAGUGGACAAGAUGACCUUCACAGGUGCCUUUCAUCAUCAAUCUUUGUGGUUAUGUGACUCCUAACUGCAUGAAAAUGCUUGUGGUGCAUGUUUAGAUGUUAUAAAACAGUAUCAGUUUUGAUUAAAUAAUAAAGCACAACACCUGAAAACUCAUGAAGGUCUCAUCUGUGUUUUGAAAGGCUGAAAAAAGUCCUGGAGCAUUGUCUCUACCUGUGUUCUGCUGCUGACUGCAUCUUAUUAAAAAUAAUGUCCUCAUCUACUCGAAUGCAAUCAAGAAACAGUGUAUGAACACCUUGAUUGCUUCUACUAAGACAUUUGACCAAGUAUUACAUUGUAUGUUAGAAUCAACUUUUAAAUAAUUUGGUGAUUAUGAAAUUCAGUGUAUAUUGCAGUGUGCUGGUUUGAGGCUAAUUAGAAUAUUUUACUGAGAGAAAUCCUUAUCUGUGAGAAGAAAGAAAAAAACAACAGUACCCUAAAUCAGUCAUUCUGCUGAGAAAUGCAACCAGUCAAAAUAUAGAUAAGACAUUCACUUCUUACACACAUCUCAGUUCUCUCCUUUUCUCUCUCGUGGUCUGUGUGGUUGCUUCUGCCUUAACUCUAACCUAACCUCCAUGUCAUCUUUUUGACAUCUCACCUCAGAUCUCUCCAUAUUUAUCACAUGAGAUAUACAGGGAUUGAUCUGGUUAUUUCUGA
Pogoniulus pusillus (Red-fronted tinkerbird) is the source of this 966-nucleotide long non-coding RNA. RefSeq lists it as uncharacterized. The record is from RefSeq and is a predicted model, not a curated record. NCBI's taxonomy places the organism in Eukaryota, Metazoa, Chordata, Aves, Piciformes, Lybiidae. The transcript is spliced from 3 exons.